This 89-nucleotide microRNA precursor is filed under the name Chlorocebus sabaeus (green monkey). RNAcentral's name for it is "miRNA (ENSCSAG00000020196.1)". The record is from RNAcentral. Lineage: Eukaryota; Metazoa; Chordata; Mammalia; Primates; Cercopithecidae.
AAACUAUUAGGUUGGUGCAAAAGUAAUUGCAGUUUUUGCCAUUACUUUCAAGGGCAAAAAUUGCAAUUAUUUUUGCACCAACCUAUUAU